RNAcentral lists this ribosomal RNA (274 nucleotides) under Afipia sp. RNAcentral describes it as "partial 16S ribosomal RNA". It matches the Rfam family "Bacterial small subunit ribosomal RNA", at positions 1 to 299 of the family's 1533-position model. Lineage: Bacteria; Pseudomonadati; Pseudomonadota; Alphaproteobacteria; Hyphomicrobiales; Nitrobacteraceae. The record is from RNAcentral.
UCCAACUUGAGAGUUUGAUCCUGGCUCAGAGCGAACGCUGGCGGCAGGCUUAACACAUGCAAGUCGAGCGGGCGUAGCAAUACGUCAGCGGCAGACGGGUGAGUAACGCGUGGGAACGUACCUUUUGGUUCGGAACAACACAGGGAAACUUGUGCUAAUACCGGAUAAGCCCUUACGGGGAAAGAUUUAUCGCCGAAAGAUCGGCCCGCGUCUGAUUAGCUAGUUGGUGAGGUAACGGCUCACCAAGGCGACGAUCAGUAGCUGGUCUGAGAGG